Molecule: ribosomal RNA, 117 nt
Organism: Sinocyclocheilus grahami
Lineage: Eukaryota; Metazoa; Chordata; Actinopteri; Cypriniformes; Cyprinidae
Source: Ensembl
AUAUAUAGCCAUAUCACCCUGCAGCCCAAGACUGGUUGCCCACUGAAGCUAAGCAGGGCUGAGCCUGGUCAGUACCUGGAUGGGAGACCUCUUGGGAAAACUAGGUUGCUGUUGGAA